RNAcentral lists this ribosomal RNA (292 nucleotides) under uncultured Bacteroidota bacterium. Its description in RNAcentral is "uncultured Bacteroidetes bacterium partial 16S ribosomal RNA". Lineage: Bacteria; Pseudomonadati; Bacteroidota. The record is from RNAcentral.
GGACUACACGGGUUUCUAAUCCUGUUUGCUACCCACGCUUUCGUGCCUCAGCGUCAAUAUUUGUUUAGUGAGCUGCCUUCGCAAUCGGUGUUCUAAGUCAUCUCUAAGCAUUUCACCGCUACAUGACUUGUUCCACUCACCUCAACAACAUUCAAGAUAACUAGUAUCCACGGCAGUUCUGCAGUUAAGCUGCAGGAUUUCACCACGGACUUAAUUACCCGCCUACGCACCCUUUAAACCCAGUGAAUCCGGAUAACGCUUGCACCCUCCGUAUUACCGCGGCUGCUGGCAC